Molecule: ribosomal RNA, 449 nt
Filed under: uncultured bacterium
Lineage: Bacteria
Description: bacterial SSU rRNA
Rfam family: Bacterial small subunit ribosomal RNA
Source: RNAcentral
AGUUUGAUCAUGGCUCAGAACGAACGCUGGCGGCAGGCUUAACACAUGCAAGUCGAGCGCCCCGCAAGGGGAGCGGCAGACGGGUGAGUAACGCGUGGGAACGUACCCUUCAGUUCGGAAUAACUCAGGGAAACUUGGGCUAAUACCGGAUACGUCCGAGAGGAGAAAGAUUUAUCGCUGAAGGAUCGGCCCGCGUUGGAUUAGCUAGUUGGUGGGGUAAUGGCCUACCAAGGCGACGAUCCAUAGCUGGUCUGAGAGGAUGAUCAGCCACACUGGGACUGAGACACGGCCCAGACUCCUACGGGAGGCAGCAGUGGGGAAUAUUGGACAAUGGGCGAAAGCCUGAUCCAGCCAUGCCGCGUGAGUGAUGAAGGCCCUAGGGUUGUAAAGCUCUUUCAGUGGGGAAGAUAAUGACGGUACCCACAGAAGAAGCCCCGGCUAACUUCGUG